GCGGGAAUAGCUCAGUUGGUAGACACGACCUUGCCAAGGUCGGGGUCGCGAGUUCGAGUCUCGUUUCCCGCUCCA
This 75-nucleotide transfer RNA is filed under the name Escherichia coli. RNAcentral's name for it is "tRNA-Gly". It matches the Rfam family "tRNA". Rfam says of the family: Transfer RNA (tRNA) molecules are approximately 80 nucleotides in length. Their secondary structure includes four short double-helical elements and three loops (D, anti-codon, and T loops). Lineage: Bacteria; Pseudomonadati; Pseudomonadota; Gammaproteobacteria; Enterobacterales; Enterobacteriaceae. The record is from RNAcentral. RNAcentral also lists the same sequence under 1 other name.